GACGAACGCUGGCGGCGUGCUUAACACAUGCAAGUCGAACGGAAAGGCCCUGCUUUUGUGGGGUGCUCGAGUGGCGAACGGGUGAGUAACACGUGAGUAACCUGCCCUUGACUUUGGGAUAACUUCAGGAAACUGGGGCUAAUACCGGAUAGGAGCUCCUGCUGCAUGGUGGGGGUUGGAAAGUUUCGGCGGUUGGGGAUGGACUCGCGGCUUAUCAGCUUGUUGGUGGGGUAGUGGCUUACCAAGGCUUUGACGGGUAGCCGGCCUGAGAGGGUGACCGGCCACAUUGGGACUGAGAUACGGCCCAGACUCCUACGGGAGGCAGCAGUGGGGAAUAUUGCACAAUAGGCGGAAGCCUGAUGCAGCAACGCCGCGUGUGGGAUGACGGCCUUCGAGUUGUAAACCGCUUUCGCCUGUGACGAAGCGUGAGUGACGGUAAUGGGUAAAGAAGCACCGGCUAACUACGUG
RNAcentral lists this ribosomal RNA (468 nucleotides) under uncultured bacterium. RNAcentral describes it as "partial 16S ribosomal RNA". It matches the Rfam family "Bacterial small subunit ribosomal RNA", at positions 28 to 507 of the family's 1533-position model. The record is from RNAcentral.